UACAGAGGGUGCAAACGUUGUUCGGAUUUACUGGGCGUAAAGCGUGCGCAGGCGGUUUUGUAAGCCAGAUGUGAAAUCCCCGGGCUCAACCUGGGAAUGGCAUUUGGGACUGCAAGGCUGGAGUACGGCAGAGGAGACUGGAAUUCCGUGGUGUAGCAGAUGAAUGCGUAGAUAUCAGGAGGAAUACCGAUGGCGAAGGCAGGUCUCUGGGCUGAUACUGACGCUCAUGCACGAAAGCGUGGGGAGCAAACAGG
RNAcentral lists this ribosomal RNA (254 nucleotides) under uncultured bacterium. Its description in RNAcentral is "partial 16S ribosomal RNA". It matches the Rfam family "Bacterial small subunit ribosomal RNA", at positions 524 to 776 of the family's 1533-position model. The record is from RNAcentral.